This is a long non-coding RNA of Physella acuta, 596 nucleotides long. RefSeq lists it as uncharacterized. Lineage: Eukaryota; Metazoa; Mollusca; Gastropoda; Physidae. The record is from RefSeq and is a predicted model, not a curated record.
GUUAACGGUGAUCUAUUUUUAUCGAUGAUUUAUGUUUAGUAUGACGUCAGACUUUUAGAUAAAUACAAGACCCAUAUAAAUGUGUGUAUUCCUGUUUUUUAUAUCUCUAAACUAGCAUACAAAUCAAUGGUUUCAGAAACAACAUAAACUAAAAAAAAACAGGUUUACACCGACCCAUGUGCUAACGAAUGAUCCGUCUUUUUGUUAACAAAGAAAAUGGCCUGUUAGGGCGAGGCCGGUAACAUGAUAACCAUAACAUAGAACUAAAAGAAAAAAUCUACGCCUGAAGACCUACUGGUCCGGCGUCCUGCACGGUUGUAAUCGCCAAGUUUCUAAAAGCAUACAGCCAUGUGUAGGCUAAUUUUUCGUAUCUUCCGUCUGCUCUUGUUUCUGCUAGAACUGCAUGUGACUUUCUUUGCUGUCGGUGUUGCAGAGGCAAACGCCUACGUAGACAAGGUACCACAAACAUCAGUGCAAGAGGGCGCCGCAUCUGUGGUUGAAGAAGCCAUCAGUAUAUAUGACAUUACAGAGACGCCUGUGUAUGGUGAAUCUACCAGUCUUUUUGACAUUACAGAGACGGCUGUGUAUGGUGAAUC